Molecule: ribosomal RNA, 344 nt
Filed under: Colophon izardi
Lineage: Eukaryota; Metazoa; Arthropoda; Insecta; Coleoptera; Lucanidae
Description: partial 16S ribosomal RNA
Source: RNAcentral
AUGGCCGCGGUAUUUUGACCGUGCAAAGGUAGCAUAAUCAUUAGUUUUUUAAUUGAAAGCUGGAAUGAAUGGUUGGACAAGAAAAUUUCUGUCUCUAUGUAAAAUUUAGAAUUUUAUUUUUUAGUUAAAAAGCUUAAAUUUUUUUAAGGGACGAGAAGACCCUAUAGAAUUUUAUAUAUUUAUAUGUUUUUAAUGAUUGGAUUUUUUAUUUGAGGAUUAAUUAAAUAUAUUUGGUUGGGGUGAUUGAAAAAUUUAAAUAACUUUUUUUUGUUUGGUUCAUUGAUUGAUGAAUAAUUGAUCCAUAAGUUGUGAUUAUAAGACUAAAUUACCUUAGGGAUAACAGC